This 95-nucleotide transfer RNA is filed under the name Streptomyces hiroshimensis. Its description in RNAcentral is "tRNA-Ala". Lineage: Bacteria; Bacillati; Actinomycetota; Actinomycetes; Kitasatosporales; Streptomycetaceae. The record is from RNAcentral.
GGACGGCCUCGGUGAGGGACGGGCCGGCCACGUAGCCGGUGGCGACCCAGGGCACCGCGGCCCCGGGGUCCGCGUCCAGCACGGGGGCCGUCCAC